GUGGGAUUUUCUACAACGCUGCUGUGCACGACAUGGGUGCCAUGUGCAUGUUGCUGGGGGAGGCCACUCCGGACACCGUGUUUUCUCUGGGACACGCCUUCUGCCUGGAUAUGACCUCAUUAAAAGAUGCAGAUGCUGUUGUGAUCAGCAUGAAGUUUCCCUGUGGGGCUGUGGUCAGCGUGGACGUCAGCCAGCACUGUACGGACAGCUGUGACCAGAGACUGGAGGUGCAUGGGUCCCAAGGCAUGCUGCAGAUGGAGAAUCAGAAUCCCCUGGGCAUCACCGGGCGGGCACAUCCCUGUCCCUCUGCUUGCAAAGCCAGGCCAGCUGCUACCAGGACUCGUAUUGAGAGCUCUUCAGACACUUUGUCAGAACCCUUAAAGGUGGGUGAAGUUCUCAGGAGGACACUGGGAUGUUCUGAUGGUCAAUGGGGAGAUGCCUUUCAGGCUGCAGACGAUAUGCCAAUUUCAGGUGGAAAAUUGCAUUCCAGAUACCAGGUUCAGAUUUGCAGUUGUCCAUCCCAGUGAUCAUUUGCGUUACAUGUACUUGAGGGAGAUUCUGAGAUGCCCGUUUGGGGUUCUGUGCGUGUACCCUGUUCCCUGACGUGUCCUAAGAAGUGUUUUUGACUCUGAGGUUUAUAAAGUGACAGUGCUUCUGAACCUCCUGAGCUCUGGUGGAUACCCUGUGUCCUGGAAGACGGGACAUCUUCCCUCUGUCAGUCCUGGGGGUGACUGGGAACAGGGAGCUUGAGCAGAAUUCCUGGACCUGGGUCAGGCUUGUUCAAGAGGGGUGGGUGGGCCUCCCUAGGGCCGGUGUCCCUCCCAGAGGCCGGUGUCCCCUGCACGUUCCCUGCAAGAGGAAGACUGGCUCCCAUGUGUUGGCUUCCAUCCUGAAUCAGUGCAAAUGUGCAUCGUGUGCAGGGAAAGAACCUCCUGAAAUCACCAAAGAGCAGUUCCUUAGGGCCUUCCGGGUGGCUGUGGCCGCGGAGCAGUCGUGGUGGAACCGGCCAGCUGUGGACCUGCCCUGCAAAUUGGCAGAGGCCUCUGCGGUGAAGACAGAAGCCCCGUGAACCAACCCAAGGCUGGAGCCAAGCCCCUGCUCAUAUCCAGUUGCCUGAUUCACUUCUCACUGUUACUGAGAGCAGGAGAUGGAACCUUCCAGGGACCUUGUCCUCACUGGAAACGCAGAAGGGGAGGCAUUGGGAAACCGUAUCUGUUUCAUUGCUGGUGUAAUGAGGCUUUUCAAGAUGCGACUUCACACCGAGGGACGCUGUGUGUGCGCAGGCCCAGUAGAGAUGCUUUUCUGGUCAGGGUUCCCUGGGCGGGGCCUCAGAGUCUCUGGUUGGCUCUCUCAGGAAGAGGGCAGGUCAGGGAUUGACGGGGUAAAUGGACCCGGAAACCUGCCGGUUCAGCUUUUCUGUGGCAAACAGGGCCGAGGGCCGGUGAAGCUGUAAAGACUACACGUUGCGUGCGUGAAGCAGACUGCAGGUCUCCUUAGGCCUUUUUUGGGGUAAUCACACCAGUAUUUAAAGAAGAGUUUUCUUGAAGAAUCUGAUUUUGUGCCUAGUGAUGACACAGCGCCAUUCCUGAGAAGCAGGAACUAUCCACGUGUGGGAUGAAAACCCGUCUUCCGUUCCUGUUGCCUGAGUCUGGGUGUGGAGUGAAUGGAGCCUUUUGGACACGGGCCUUCUCCUUCCUGUUUGCAGGCGGGCGGUGGAGACCUCCCUUCGGAAGGCAGUGCCUUGCAGGGCAGCCUGCCCCAAGUCCAGCUUGGCCUUCCAAAACGAUGUGUGGAAGCUACCGGAGGUGUUUUUAUAUAUUUGAAAAUAAUGGCCUGUAUUUCUCAUGCUGUACUUAAAAAAAAAUAACUUUUUAAACAAAGGUAUUCAGUUCACCCUUGUGUUGAAAGCACU
Molecule: long non-coding RNA, 1912 nt
Organism: Aotus nancymaae (Ma's night monkey)
Lineage: Eukaryota; Metazoa; Chordata; Mammalia; Primates; Aotidae
Source: Ensembl